GUAUAUUUAAUAACACAAGUUUUUUUUUAGUUUUUUUUUAUUUAUAUAUAUUUUUUUAACUUUUAAACGCCGUAGCCUGUGCGGGAUGUUGAUCCAACACUAAUAUCAAAUCCUGAAAUGACACCGAUAUUUCAAACAUAAAUUGAUCAUUUCUUACAGAUCGUAUUGAUAUUUUUUAAUGUUUUGUAGUACAAAAAAGAAAUUUUCGCCAGAACGUGAACGAAUUUUUGUUGCUGCGCAGGAUGUGUCCUGCGCUAAUAGAAAGUCUGGAAAUUACUCUGAUAAUAUGAAUAACUGCCAUAAACCAUUCUAACUUUACAUUGUUUAACAAUUACAGACAGAUAUUGCAAAUCUUGGUUUUAAAAAAUGUGUCAUAAAUUUAUUUCAACAUCAGUAAAUUCAUGGGAGUCGGUCACCAGGUUUCAAUAUCUUCAGUAUGAUACAAUAUGCAAUAAAACUCAAACAUGCGUGAAGGUGUGAUUUCCUCCGGAUAGCCACAUCGUCCUCUCUAUUCUUUUUAUAACUGAAGUAUUUUUACCUCAUUCGAUCACACGCAGUCAUUUUCUACCGGAUAUAGAACAUAAAGGAGACUUACAUAAAAGACUUAUAUUCAGAUUUGCAAAAGCUACAGUUUUAGUCUGUAAUCGUAAAUCAAAGUAAAAGUUAAUAUGAUUUAUAAAAGAUAUUCAAGUUAUCAGAUUAAUUUCCAGAUUUAUUAUUAGCGCAGACACACAUCUUGCGCAGAUAAAAAAUGUAAUAUUUCGUUCUCGUUAUGACAGAAAUGACUCUUUUUCUAUCCAUUUUUUACAGUAUUCAUUUGAAAGUUACAUAAAUAGUACGCUUUAUGAAUGAAAUAUAUUAAAUUUUGAAAUACAGUGUAAUUUCAAACUUUGAUAUUAGCGCAGGACCGACCUCCCACGCAAGUUACAGGUGUAACAUUAUAGUCUGUAAUCGUAAAUCAAAGUAAAAGUUAAUAUGAUUUAUAAAAGAUAUUCAAGUUAUCAGAGUAAUUUCCAGAUUUUCAUUUAGCGCAGGGCAUCGAACACAUAUCUUGGGCAGCUACAAAAUAUAAAAUAUUGUUUACGUUUUGUUGAAAAUUAGGGCUACUCUUUAUUUAAUUGAUUUUGUACUGUAAAAUAAUAAUAAUAAUAAUAAUAAUAAUAAUAAUAACAUAGAUAAGAUCUGUAAGAAUUUUCUUCUGUGACUUUUUUAUUUUAUCUUUUAUCUUAGACAUGUUGAGAGAUAUGCUCCCGUUGGUAAAAAGAAUAUUAUUGUGAAAUUUCAAGAUAUUUCAAUAUAAUAAAAACGAUAUUUUGCUUGUUUGGGUUUUAUUGCAUCUUGUAUAAGAUCGGAGGUAUUGAAACCUGGUGACCGACUGCCGUGAAUUUACUGAUGUAGAAACAAAUUUAUGACACAUAAUUUAAGUACCAAGAUAUUCAGCAUUUGACAUCUAUAUUUAUUAAUAAAUUGACCAAUUGCAUGAUUUAUCAAACACGAAAUGCAAAUUUUUGAUAUAUAAAGUUACAUUUGUUAUUUGCGCUGUGCAUUUGGCAAAUCGCGCAGGUUAAAUUUAUCCUGCGUGCAAAAAUUUGUUAUAUACGCUGCGCGUUUGGUAAAUAGCGCAGAUUGGUUAUUUGCGCUCAACAUACACACUACACAAAAACCUCGCGUUUUGAAUUGGAUGCUUUCAUUAUUUGUACACGGGGUGGCGGGUGAUCAGUCGCUACAUUCUUAAAUGUUGUAGUAUCUAGAUCUACCGACUAUUAAAAUGAAUGGAUUAAUAAAACUUUUUAACAUUUGUAUAAAGCUUACGAAAUGUUUGUUAUUAUAAAUGCCUACAACCGCUGAUUAGAACUUAAAUAAGAAAUGAAGCAUUAACCAAGCUGACACCCCUAAUCUUAGCGUAUUAUGAAAUGGACGUGUCCAUUCAAUUACACAUGACUGUCCACGGCUUCUGAGACUUGGGUUUAUGAUUCGAAGAGUGAAAACGGAUAUCAGUCGACUACAUACACGCGUUUGUUUAUUCCUUUUUGUGUUGGAAAUUAUUGAUGGUCUUUCUGUCACUGUCCGUAAUUUAGCGAUUUGCCAAGCAAGCAGCAGAGGGAGUAGAACAGACCUCUUUUCUCGACUGCAGUGGCUUGGCAUUGGAUGCCCUAAUAAGAAGAUUGACUUGACUUUUUAAUGCGAUUCCGUGUAUCACACAACUUAAAAGACAAUAUGUUUCGUUAUAUAUCUAUGAUCAUAUUUAGGAUACAUGUUAAUGACCAUUGUAAGAUUGUGUGUAACUUACAAGACUUGGGCCACUUGCAUCAAGGUCAAGUUCAGAUAUAGAAUUCAGCUGCAUACAGUCUACCACAUAACUACUAAACCCUAUGAACAUGAUGAAAGGAGCUGUCGGGAUUUCCAUGGUGCAGCUAUCACCAGUUUCAAAAUGGAAACAGAUGGUGAGUCUCAAGCGAAAAAGAAAAGUGGACCUCUCCUAACAACUUAAAAGGAGAACAUUAUCUUGCAUAGCAUUUUUCUCCGAAGGGAUUGAUUCAACCAAACACAUUGUGACAAGUAUCCCACUGAAGGCAAGUUCUACAACAAGGAAACGGACUCCACCAAUAUAUCGACGUUCAAAAAGGGCUUAAAUUUGUUUACCGAUCAAAACUAUGCCAUAAGACAUGAAUCACCCUCCAAUUAAAACAAAACAUAUGGAGAAGUCAGUCACUUUGAAGUUUCAAAUCAAGUAACAAUUUAAGAUAUGAGACCAUUCUAAUGACGACAAUGAAUAUGGAGACAUAAAUGAGCUAUAUAACUCAAACCUAGACUGAAAGAUUUUUAGCUAACCUUAGCACAAAGUGCUCAAAGGUGAGCUUUUGUGAUCGCCCUGUGUCUGUCGUCGUCAACAAUUUGACUUUUAACAUUCUAGAAGUCACAAUUUUGGUCUAAUCUUAAUGAAACUUGGUCAGAAUGUUACCCUCAAUAAAAUCUUGGACGUGUUCGAUAAUGGGUCAUCUAGGGUCAAAAACUAGGUCACCAGGCCAAAUCAAAGGAAAAGCUUGUUAACACUCUAGAGGUCACAAUUUUGGCUCAAUCAUAAUGAAACUUGGUAGAAAUGUUACCCCAAAUAAAAUCUUGGACGAGUUCGAUUUUGUGUAAUCUGGUUUCAAAAACUAGGUCACAAGGUCAAAUAUAAAAGCAAGGAGUGGACGGCUAGAGGGAAGGAAAAAGCCGCCAAAAUAUUGGCAGGGCUCCAGAUAAGAUGCGUAUUAGCGUAAAUUACGCUUUGAAAUAAUGCAUAUACGCAUGUGUGAUCAUUUUUAAGCGUAUAAAAACGUAUAAGAAAUUACAGAAACUCCUGCAAUGACUUUUUACUAGCGUAAACAAACUCUGAAUCAUCUAAAGUCUUUACGUAACAAAGCACGGUCAGCAUUAAUUCUCCCACACGAAACGUACACACGCAUUGAAUGGUACUUUAUACCCAAUGCAUUCGUAAGUCAAAUAGUUGGGAAACAAUAUUGAUGGUACGAUAGUGUAUUCUAAAGCGGUGUCGAUCUGAGAUUGUAAAAAGUGAACAAACACUACGCAUCUUUAAACCAACAAGAACGAUCAUUAAAACAUAUUUAAAGCUAUAUUGAGUAUUCUAUUGGAUUCAGUAGCGGUAUUGUAAGCCAGAGUAAACCAAGGGAGAACAAAAAGCAAAAACUUGAAUGCUGAAUUGAAACUGAACUGCAAACAAAUUCAUGGGUGUUACACCAAAUUAAUAAAUAUGUUAUAAAACCGUUUUCUUUUUUUUACAUUUACAAAUUUUCAGGAGUAAAAUUACUCCUUUUUUACCAUUUUACUCAUUCACAAAAAUUAUAAUGAAUAAAUACUCAUAGGCCAACAAAAUUAUCUGAAGCCCUGUUAAUUGGUCAUUGAAAAGUGCAGUUGAGUCAGGGAAAAGUCAGGAAAUAGUUUGGGAAUUUCAUUUUCUCAACUAAGUGGCAACCCUGAGAAACUGUAUAAUAUAUGUUUGUACUAAGCUUAAUUACUACAAUACUUAUCACAUAAUUGUGUUUUUACUGUGUAAGACUAGAAGAUGCAAUGAAAAGAACAGCAUAUUGCAUUUGUAUAUUAACUUGAAAAUAUUUUAACUGUAUGCAAGUUUCUUGUGUGAAUUUUUUUUUUAUUCAGUUCAUCAUGUUCAUGUCCUGAAAACCUAUAGGUUGUCAUUUCCUUUCGAACAACAUAGGAAGCAAUGGAUUUAAAUAUAAAUUGUGACUUUAGAUUCCGAGAAAUAGUGUUUUCAAACUACGAUGAUCACUCUACUGGUACUUGAAAACAAUUUUUUACGGUUCUAAUAUUUUAUUGGGUUAUUCAAAAAUGUUACGUUAGUAUGAUUGUUUCAGCCAUUUCAUCCAUUAAGUAAACUUUACAUAAAAAGUAUUAGGUGAAGUGCUGUUUGUAGGUAAAAAAAGUGUACUUUAUAUAGCAGGGCCUCAACUGGGCCUCAGUCAGUUAUAGCCACUUUUUGUAGCUCACCAGAGCUGAAGACUCAGGGUGAGCUAUUCUGAUCACUCACCGUCCGGCGUCGGUGUCCGUCCGUAAACUUUUACUUUUAACGACAUCUCCUCAUAAACUGCUAGGCCAAUUUCACAGGAAUGUUCCUUGGGUGAAGCUGUACAAAAAGUGUUCAAAGAAUUGAAUUCCAUGCAGAACCGAAAGGAAAAACAUUAAAAAUCUUCUUCUCAAAAAACAAGAAGCCCUAGAGCUUAGAUAUUUGGUGUGAAGCAUUGCCUAGUAGACCUCUACCAAAUUUGUUCAAAUCAUGACCCCGGGGUCAAAAUUGACCCCGCCCCAGGGGUCACUUGAUUUUACAUAGAAAAAUCUUAAAAAUCUUCUUCUCAAAAACCAGAAGCCCUAGAGCUUAGAUAUUUGACAUGUAGCAUUGCCUAGUGGACCUCUACUUAAGUUGUUCAAAUCAUGACCCCGGGAUCAAAAUUGACCCCGCCCCAGGGGUCAUUUGAUUUUACAUAGAUUUCUAUAGGAAAAUAUUCAUUUUUUUUUUUAAAAUAAACCAGAAGGCCUAGAGCAUAGAUAUUUGACAUGUAGCAUUGCCUAGUGGACCUCUACAAAAUGUGUUCAAAUCAUGACCCCCGGGGUCAAAAUUGAUUUUAUAUAGGAAAAUCUUCAAGAAUUUUUCAAAAAAUAAACCAGAAGGCCUAGAUCUUAGAUAUUUGACAUGAAGCAUUGCCUAGUAGACUUCUACAAAAUUUGUUCAAAUCAUGACCCCCAGAGUCAAAUUGACCCCGCCCUAUGGGGUUACUUGAUUGUACAUAGAAAAAUCUUCAAAAUUUUCUAAAAAUAAACCAGAAGGUCUAGAGCCUAGAUAUUUGACAUGUAGCAUUGCCUAGUGGACCUCUACAAAAUUUGUUCAAAUCAUGACCCCCGGAUCAAAAUUGAACCCGCCCCAGGGCCCCUGCAGGGGUCACUUGAUUUUGUAUAGGAAAAUCUUCAAAAAAAUUCUAAAAAUAAACCAGAAGGCCUAGAUCUUAGAUAUUUGACAUGUAGCAUUGCCUAAUAGACUUCUACAAAAUUUGUUCAAAGCAUGACCCCCGGGGUCCAAUUGAGCCCGCCCCAUGGGGUUACUUGAUUGUACAUAGAAAAAUCUUCAAAAUUUGCUAAAAAUAAACCAGAAGGCCUAGUUCUUAGAUAUUUGAUAUGUAACAUUGCCUAGUAGACUUCUACAAACUUUGUUCAAAUCAUGACCCCUGGGGUAAAAUUGGCCCCGCCCCAGGGGUUAGUUGAUUAUACAUCGGAAAAUCUUCCGAAAAAUUUCUAAAAAUCAUCAGUUUAACAUUUGAAACAUGUAGCUCAUAAUACUCAGGUGAGCGAUCCAGGGUCAUCAUGACACUCUUGUUUAGAGAAACUGCCAAAUUGUAGCUGAAUUGCUGAAAUUUUGCAACCUUUUAAUAAAUUCUUGUAACCACUUCAUGGUGAGCUUUUGUAACUGCUCUAUUUCCUUCAUGGGUUAUCCAUCGGUCAACAAUUUGUAAAAAAUUUACUUCAAAAUCACAGGGCAUAUUUACACCAAACUUAACAGGAAUUAUCCUUAGAUGACCCCCUACCAAAAUUGGUUUAAGAAUUCAUUUUCAUUUUUGGAAUUGUAUAUGUCAUUGUUUGAUAGUACUGUCUACAAAACAGAACAUGUUUUACUGUAACAUUUACAUGAUGGACAUAAAUGGUAUAUAAUUUUUAGCUCAACAAUACGAAGAAUAAGGAGGGCUAUCCUACUCGACCUGGCAUUGGCGUCUUUCCGCGUCCCCACCUUAGUUGAAGUUUUUUUACACUUUCUUUUUUAGCUCACCUGUCACAUAGUGACAAGGUGAGCUUUUGUGAUCACCCUUCGUCCGUCGUACGUCAGUGCGGACGUGCGUCAACAAUUUCUUGUCUGCACGAUAGUGGUUUCAUUUAUGAUUUUAUUUUUAACCAAACUUGCACACAACUUGUAUGAUCAUAAGAUCACGGUUCCUUUCUUGAACUGGCCAGAUCCCAUUAUUGGUUCUAGAGUUAUGGCCCCUGAAAGGGCCAAAAUUAGCUAUUUUGACCUUGUCUGAACAAUAGCAGCUUUAUUUAUGAUUUGAUUUUAACCAAACUGGCACACAACUUGUAUCACCGUAAGAUCUUGGUUCCUUUCAUGAACUGGCGAGAUUCCAUUAUGGGUUCCAGAGUUAUGGCCCCUGAAAGGGCCAGAAUUAGCUAUUUUGACCUUGUCUGCACAAUAGCAGCUUCAUUUAUGAUUUUAUUUUAACCAAACUUGCACACAACUUGUAUCACCAUAAGAUCUUGGUUCCUUUCAUGAACUGGCGAGCUUCCAUCAUGGAUUCUUGAGUGAUGGCCCCUGAAAGGGCCAGAAUUAGCUAUUUUGACCUUGUCUGCACAAUAGCAGCUUCAUUUAUGAUUUGAAUUUAAUCAAACUUGCACAAAACAUGUGUCACCAUAAGAUCUCGGUUCCUUUCUUGAACCGGCCAGAUCCCAUAAUGGGUUCCAGAGUUAUGGCCCCUGAAAGAGCCAAAAUUAGCUAUUUCGACCUUGUCUGCACAAUAGCAGCUUCAUUUAUGAUUUGAUUUUAACCAAACUUGCACACAACUUGUAUCACUACAAGAUCUUCCUUCCUUUCUUCAACUGGCCAGAUUCCACCAUGGGUUCCAGAGUUAUGGCCCCUUAAAGGUCCAAAAUUGGCUAUUUUGGCUUUUGCAGCCAUAUAGAGACUUCAUUUAUGGUUUUAUUUGAUACAAACUUCCAAAAUAUCUUUAACAACAAUAAAUCUUGGAUUCCAUGACAAAUCAGAUCCAAUUGUAGGUUCCAGAGUUAUUUUAUAUCUGAUUACCUCCCCUGAUUGUAAUCAAAAUGGAUUUAUAUCAAUAAGUACUUACUGGACUUAUUUGAAAUUUCAUUAUUGUUAUUAGUUGGACUGGGACAAUCAGGGUAGAUAACUAUGGACUGAUUUUAUGUCAAAUUAUCUCCCUUUAUUUCAAAUUAAAAUGGGUAUAUCUCCAUAACUAAUGAAGAUACUGAUCUGAAAUUUCAUUUAUGUCAACAUAUUUAUUUGGCAGAUCCUUCUUUUGUUCAUUUACAAUAUUUUUUUAAUUACUUCCCUUUUACGUUACUAUAAAUAGCUUAUUUUUAGUAACUAUUUUAUUAUUGGCCGUAGGGAAAAACCGAGACCACUUUUCUGUGGUACAACUUGGAUGGUACCUCCAAUUUUAGAUGUAUUUUGACAUAUCUAUACCUUGUAAGAAUUUUUUUUCUUUUUGGAUAAAUUUCUUCACUUUGUUGUUACUGUCCUUUGGUCUUAGAUAUUUUUUCUGAGGACCUUCUUGUCCUCAAGUGCAGUGAUAACAGGUGAGCGAUAUAGGGCCAUCAUGACCCUCUUGUUUUUCCUUAUCUCUUUAUUUACUUGACGGAUUCGAUUCAUACUAAUUUGUAUGGUUAUUUCUCACCAUCACCCACAUCAUCUGACAUAAGAUCCAUAACUUUGGCACCAAUAUUUUAUGAUUUAUCCCCCCUUUCCACUUAGAUUUUCAGUUUAAAGUUUUGGUGCACUUUCACUCUAUAUCUGUUAUUAAUGAAUGGAUUUGAUUCAAACUUGAACUAAUAUGACACAAGGUACAUAACUCUAAGCACAAAUUUUUCAUGAAUUAUACCCCCUUUUUACUUUGAAUUUCAGGUUAGAGUUUUGAUGCAAUUUCACAUCAUCUCUGUUAUUACAGAAUGGAUUUGAUUCAAACUUGAAUUAUUGUUCAACAUCAUCACCCCCAUCAUAUGACACAAGGUGCAUAACUCUAGCACAAAUUUUUCAUGAAUUAUACCCCCUUUUUACUUUGAAUUUCAGGUUAGAGUUUUGAUGCAAUUUCGCAUCAUCUCUGUUAUUACAGAAUGGAUUUGAUUCAAACUUCAAGUAAUUGUUCAGCAUCAUCACCUAUAUCAUAUGACAUAAGUUGCAUAACUCUGACACAUUUUAUAUCAUGAAUUAUUCCCCUUAUUACUGGAAAGUUCAGGUUAAUGUUUUGUUGCACUUUCAGACUAUCUAAGUUGUCACUAAAUUCAAUUAAUUUAAUUAACUAAAGAUGGGUUUUUACAGGUUUUAAACAAUUCUGUUUGUAUGUAGUGGUUUCAUGUAAUUUUCUAACCUUUUACUUAUUUCAUGUGUAAAUUUCAUAAUAUUGUCACAACAAAAUAUGAUCCCUAUAUAUCAAGUAUUUCUUAAUAUUUUUGACACAGUCUAAAGCUAUUGUACAAUAUCUUCCUCCACACUUGGAAUCAUUAAACAUUCCAAUGACAGCUCCAGUUUUCUCAGAUGUGCCCCGUUUCACUAUCCUGCCCCCCACCCUCCCCCCAAAUUCUUGGCAAAAAUGUUCCUCAUAAUGAGACGAUAUGUACUGCGUAAGAUCCAGACCCUUAGUUACAAUUAGAGGUUAAUGUUAACAUGCUGUGUUUCUUAUCUGGUCCAUUACUCUGCCGUUGUUGAAGGUAUUUUGAAAAUUCUUGGCAUCCCAUAAUGAAAUGAGGUUUCAUGCACAAGACACAUACCCCUAGCUACAAGUUCAAGAUCACACUUAAAAGUCAAAGGUGUUGCUUGUCUGUCAGUUUUCAAGGGAUUUGAAAAUAAUUUGACUCAAACCAUACUUGGCCCAAAUGUUCACCACAUCGAGACGACAUGCAGAGCACAUGUUUCAGAUGGCUCCCUUCAAGGUCAAGGUCACACUUAUGGGUCAGAGGUCAUAUGACUUUGUUUCGUGUCCGCUCUGUAACUCUUGAACUGCUUGAAGGAUUUUAAAGAAAUUUGGCACAAAUGUUCACCACAUUGAGACGAUGUUACAGAGCACAUGUUUCGGAUGGCUUUCUUUAAGGUCAAGGUCACACUUAGGGGUCAAUGGUCAUGUGACUUUGUUUUCUGUGUAUAUUGCCCUGCAUUGCGGUGCUCUUGUUUUUCUUUGGCAAAUCCUUUUUAUACGCCCGUUUGAAAAACGGGACGUAUUAUGGGAACGCCCCUGGUGGGCGGGCGGCGUCCACAGACUUUGUCCGGAGCAUAGAUCUUCUACAUGCAUGGAGGGAUUUUGAUGAAACUUGGCACAGUUGUUCAUCAUCAUGAGACGGAGUGUCAUGCACAAGAACCAGGUCCCCAGGUCUAAGGUCAAGGUCACACUUAGAGGUCAAAGGUUAAAUUCAAGAAUUACUUUGUCCGGAGCAUAUCUUCUUCAUUCAUGGAGGGAUUUUGAUGAAAGUUGGCACAAUUGUUCAUCAUCAUGAGACGGAGUGUCAUGCGCAAGAACCAGGUCCCUAGGUCUAAGGUCAAGGUCACACUUAGAGGUCAAAGGAUACAAGAAUGAAAACUUUGUCCGGAGCAUUUCUUCUUCUUGCAUAGAGGGAUUUUGAUAUAACUUGUCACAAAUGUUCACCACCAUGAGCCGGAGUGUCGUGUACAAGAACCAGGUCCCUAAGUCUAAGGUCAAUGUCACACUUAGAGGUCAAAGGAUACAAGAAUGAAAACCUUGUCCGGAGCAUUUCUUCUUCAUGCAUAGAGGGAUUUUGAUAUAACUUGGCACAAAUAUUCACCACCACGAGACGAAGUGUCAUGCGCAAGAACCAGGUCCCUAGGUCUAAGGUCAAGGUCAUACUUAGAGGUCAAAGGUCAGAUACAAGAAUGACUUUGUCCGAAGCAUUUCUUCUUCAUGCAUGGAGGGAUUUUGAUGUAACUUGGCACAAUUAUGCACCAUCAUGAGAGGAAGUGUCAUGCGCAGUUCCUUUCUUUAGAAUUACUUCCUUUUGUUGUUACUAUAAAUAGCUUAUAUUGUAACUUCUUCAUUACUAGUCGUAGCGAAAAAUCGAGACCACUUUUCUGUAGUACAACAUGCAUGCUCCAUCCAAUUUUGAGGUGUAUUUUGACCAAUCUCUACCUGGUAAAAAUUUGUGUGUGGACAAUUUUUUUUGGAUUUUUUUUUUUUUUUUUUAAGAUUAACUUCCCUUAGUUGUUACUAUAAAUAACUUUUAUUGUAACUUUUUUAUAAUUGACCGUAGGGAAAAAAUAACCACUUUUCUGUGGUACAACAUAGAUGCUACUUUCCAAUUUUAGGCGUAUUUUAAGGAAUCUCUACCUGGUAAGGAGUUUUUAUGUUGAUUUAGGAAAACAAAAGAAUAACAAUAAUCACUACCACAAAAUUAAAAUUGCAUUUGCAAAUACAGGUGCUAGUGUAAAGAAAUUUGCUGUGACGGGCGUAUAUUGUGACAUUCUGGCACUCUUAUUUAUUUAUGUUAGACUUUUGUGUUAUAUUUAUUAUGUUCAUAAGUAUUUGUUUUGAUAUUUUUUUUAAAUAAAUAGAUUAAAAUAUGUGUUGAAAUUUUCAGUAAUAUUUGUAUUUUUAUGCCCCCCUUCAAAGAAGGAGGGGUAUAUUGUUUUGCAGAUGUCGGUCGGUAGG
This is a long non-coding RNA of Mercenaria mercenaria, 10946 nucleotides long. RefSeq lists it as uncharacterized. The record is from RefSeq and is a predicted model, not a curated record. NCBI's taxonomy places the organism in Eukaryota, Metazoa, Mollusca, Bivalvia, Venerida, Veneridae. The transcript has 3 exons.